RNAcentral lists this ribosomal RNA (553 nucleotides) under Colletotrichum acutatum. RNAcentral describes it as "eukaryotic LSU rRNA". The stretch from base 197 to 350 matches the Rfam family "5.8S ribosomal RNA". The record is from RNAcentral. Lineage: Eukaryota; Fungi; Ascomycota; Sordariomycetes; Glomerellales; Glomerellaceae.
CGGAGGGAUCAUUACUGAGUUACCGCUCUAUAACCCUUUGUGAACAUACCUAACCGUUGCUUCGGCGGGCAGGGGAAGCCUCUCGCGGGCCUCCCCUCCCGGCGCCGGCCCCCACCACGGGGACGGGGCGCCCGCCGGAGGAAACCAAACUCUAUUUACACGACGUCUCUUCUGAGUGGCACAAGCAAAUAAUUAAAACUUUUAACAACGGAUCUCUUGGUUCUGGCAUCGAUGAAGAACGCAGCGAAAUGCGAUAAGUAAUGUGAAUUGCAGAAUUCAGUGAAUCAUCGAAUCUUUGAACGCACAUUGCGCUCGCCAGCAUUCUGGCGAGCAUGCCUGUUCGAGCGUCAUUUCAACCCUCAAGCACCGCUUGGUUUUGGGGCCCCACGGCACACGUGGGCCCUUAAAGGUAGUGGCGGACCCUCCCGGAGCCUCCUUUGCGUAGUAACUAACGUCUCGCACUGGGAUCCGGAGGGACUCUUGCCGUAAAACCCCCCAAUUUUUUACAGGUUGACCUCGGAUCAGGUAGGAAUACCCGCUGAACUUAAGCAUA